GAUGAACGCUGGCGGCGUGCUUAACACAUGCAAGUCGAACGAGGUUAAUUGAGCGGAUUAUUUCGGUAUGAAGCACUUUUAACUGAGUGGCGGACGGGUGAGUAACGCGUGGGCAACCUGCCUCAUUCAGGGGGAUACCAGUUGGAAACGACUGUUAAUACCGCAUAAGCGCACAGCUCCGCAUGGAGCGGUGUGAAAAGCUCCGGCAGAAUGAGAUGGGCCCGCGUCUGAUUAGCUAGUUGGUGAGGUAACGGCCCACCAAGGCGACGAUCAGUAGCCGACCUGAGAGGGUGACCGGCCACAUUGGGACUGAGACACGGCCCAAACUCC
This 330-nucleotide ribosomal RNA is filed under the name uncultured Lachnospiraceae bacterium. RNAcentral describes it as "bacterial SSU rRNA". It matches the Rfam family "Bacterial small subunit ribosomal RNA", at positions 28 to 339 of the family's 1533-position model. Lineage: Bacteria; Bacillati; Bacillota; Clostridia; Lachnospirales; Lachnospiraceae. The record is from RNAcentral.